This 253-nucleotide ribosomal RNA is filed under the name uncultured bacterium. RNAcentral describes it as "partial 16S ribosomal RNA". It matches the Rfam family "Bacterial small subunit ribosomal RNA", at positions 524 to 776 of the family's 1533-position model. The record is from RNAcentral.
UACGAAGGUCCCAAGCGUUGUUCGGAAUCACUGGGCGUAAAGGGAGCGUAGGCGGCGUGGUAAGUCAGAUGUGAAAUCCCGGGGCUCAACCCCGGAACUGCAUCCGAUACUGCCCGACUAGAGGUAGGUAGGGGAGAUCGGAAUUCCUGGUGUAGCGGUGAAAUGCGCAGAUAUCAGGAGGAACACCGGUGGCGAAGGCGGAUCUCUGGGCCUUACCUGACGCUGAGGCGCGAAAGCUAGGGGAGCAAACAGG